GAGUGGAAUGUCAGAAAAAGUGGUUUGGUUUCUAGUGUAUUAGGCAAGCUGUAGUAUGCAAAAGUAAUUUAGCCUGCCCUGAAACUCUUCAGUGUGAUGAAAAUUUUAUCAGUAGUGUGAAAAAGACAACUAUCCAGCCUACUCAUUUAGUCAGCUUACAUGUUUAUACACAGGGAAGAAAAAAAAUGGAUUUGCAAGUAUGACUUGGGUUUUCUCUCUACUGCUUUUGUUUUUCUGUUUCUUUUUUGCCAUAAAUGGUGUAUUUAGAAUUUAUGCUGUCUAAUCUCAGUUCCACUGGAGAUGCAAUUUUCACUUACAGGAGCUUUAAGUACAGUUAAGGCUGCCUUAAAAGCCUUAUAAGCCACUAUCAUAAUAAGCAAUUUGUUUAUUUUUAUUGCCAACCUGGAAAAAGAAAAUAUUUCCCAACAAACCACAACAGGAACAGAAAAAUAUUAAAAAACUGUAUCAAAAAACUUGUAUCAUGAAAAUUAUUAAUAUUUAAUUCAGGUUAAAGCUUUGCCAUUCCAAAUGUAGAAUGCACAGCUGUAUCUUCUUAUGUUAAAAUACUUAUUCAUGAACAGAGUAUAUGGUGUGUGAGCUGAACUGUUUCAUCCAGUCUGGUGAGUAAUUGUACUAUUUUUCCAUUGGACCAUUUCUUUUAUUUGAGCUGAAAAUGUUUUUCAGCCUUUUUGCAUAGUUUGGGUGUUUUGAUGUCCUUGUGCUUUUGGUAUUUCCUAGAAAGUUCCUUGAGUGUUGUUAAACAGUCUAGGACAAGCAAGCGAAGAUUUUUUUUCAGAGAAAAUGAUUUUGAAAACCUAAAAGAUAAUACUGAGAUUUUGAAAAGGGGAACUCUCGCUGGCCUCAAACUAUAGGUUUAUCUCCCUUCCCAUGUGGACAGCUAAAGAUUAUUUCCAAGUACAGACUGUAUGUCCUGUAAAAUAGAAAAAUGUUGCUGAUGAGAUGCAAUAUUGACAAAAUAUGGUCCCACAGCAGGGUGAAUGGGAGUAAGAGAGCUGAGCAGGGCUGUGUUGCUCAGUGCCUGGCUGCAGGGUGAGCCCAGCCUCGCAUGGCCAGAGAGGAGCCAUGGGCAGCUCCUGCCUGCUGACUAUCCCAGCUGCAUGGCCUUGCCUUUAUCUAGGGCUGCACCAACAAGCUCUCAUGUAAACAUCCUUUUUUUUUUUUUGGCAGUAGAAAUGAAACAUAGUUGUUUUCAUGGAAAAAAAUUCUGGUAAGGGCUGAAAUGAGCAGAGUGGUGUGGCCUUUCUAAGGAUGGCCUCUGUGCAGUGGCUGUGCCCUCGCUGGAGGCCUGUGCUGUGCUGCACAGCUUGGGCUUCCCAGUAUAUGAAAGGAUGUAAGGUUCUGUAUGAUCCUAGUUUUCUUACACUGUUAUCUGCCAUCACUAGUACACUGCUGCACAGAGUCCAAGUGCUUUUCUUUCUGGCAUAGUACUGAACCAACACCUCCUGCUGCAACAUGCAAAGCUCUUGACUGCCUGAAGUUGCUCACUACUGUUUCCUUCCUGCGUGGAUCUGUUCUGCUAUCUGCUGUUUUCUAAUUACAUUGCAUCUUUUUGUUUUCUUUGAACAUUUAAACUGUAACUCAGAGGACUGAGUCAGAAGAUUCUGUGCUGGAGGCAUGCAUCUUGAAACGUUUCUUGUACUGCAGUGCUUGCAAAGGCAUGAGGUUGAAAGACAAAUGAUAAGAGUUGUUCGCCUGUGUAAGGAACAGGCAGAAUGACAAGGGAGAGAGAGACUGAUGGUGGGGCAGAAGAGUUACCUUUCACCAGAAGCAGAUUUUAAUACUUGAGUAUUUUUCUAGUAGAAAGUCCAUUUCAGAAAUUUCCAUUGGUUCAUUUUCCUGUUGAGGGAUUUUAAUUUCAUGUCAGCUGCAAUGAUGAUGUUAUUCAGGAAUUCCUGUGAUUUAUAUAAAUGAAGAGAGCAUAGAAACAGUUGUUCCCAUCAAUGACUGCUAAAGUGUUAUGACCUACUGUACUCUUAUUUUACAUCUUCAUUCUACCUCAUUCUUCUGCUCUAUAGCUGAUAACUUGUUAUUAGCUCUUCAUGUACUUUACUGUUUCUCCUCCUCCAGAUUAUUUCAUAGCCUAACAUUGGAAAUUUAUCUCCAUAAUCAGGAGUGAGGUUGUUUC
Molecule: non-coding RNA, 2146 nt
Organism: Sturnus vulgaris (Common starling)
Lineage: Eukaryota; Metazoa; Chordata; Aves; Passeriformes; Sturnidae
Source: RefSeq, a predicted model, not a curated record